UUCCGGUUGAUCCUGCCGGACCCGACUGCUAUUUGGGUGAGGAUAAGCCAUGCGAGUUGAAUGGGAAACCUAAAGUUCCCAUGGCAAACUGCUCAGUAACACAUGAUCAACUUACCCUAUAGAGAAAAAUAACCUCGGGAAACUGAGGAUAAUGUUUCAUAGUUGAAUUGGCUUGGAAAAGUUUUUCGACGAAAGGGGUAAAAAAAAUGGUUUUUAUCUGCUAUAGGAUAGGAUCGUGUUCGAUUAUGGUUGUUGGUGAGGUAAUGGCUCACCAAGCCGAUAAUCGAUAGGGGCCGUGAGAGCGGGAGCCCCGAGAUGGGUACUGAGACAACGACCCAGGCCUUACGAGGCGCAGCAGGCGCGAAGCCUCCGCAAUACACGAAAGUGUGACGGGGUUACCCAAAGUGUUCAAUUUUGAACUGUGGUAGGUGAGUAAUGUUCCCUACUAGAAAGGAGAGGGCAAGGCUGGUGCCAGCCGCCGCGGUAAAACCAGCUCUUCAAGUGGUCGGGAUAAUUAUUGGGCUUAAAGUGUCCGUAGCCGGUUUAGUAAGUUCCUGGUAAAAUCGGGUAGCUUAACUAUCUAUAUGCUAGGAAUACUACUAUACUAGAGGGCGGGAGAGGUCUGAGGUACUGCAGGGGUAGGGGUGAAAUCUUAUAAUCCUUGUUGGACCACCAGUGGCGAAGGCGUCAGACUGGAACGCGCCUGACGGUGAGGGACGAAAGCCAGGGGAGCGAACCGGAUUAGAUACCCGGGUAGUCCUGGCCGUAAACGAUGCAUACUAGGUGAUGGCACGGCCAUGAGCCGUGUCAGUGCCGUAGGGAAACCGUUAAGUGUGCCGCCUGGGAAGUACGGUCGCAAGGCUAAAACUUAAAGGAAUUGGCGGGGGAGCACCACAAAGGGUGAAGCCUGCGGUUCAAUUGGAUUCAACGCCGGGAAUCACUAGUGCGGC
Molecule: ribosomal RNA, 950 nt
Filed under: uncultured archaeon
Lineage: Archaea
Description: bacterial SSU rRNA
Rfam family: Archaeal small subunit ribosomal RNA
Source: RNAcentral